AUUGAACGCUGGCGGAAUGCUUUACACAUGCAAGUCGAGCGGCAGCGCGGGGGCAACCCUGGCGGCGAGCGGCGAACGGGUGAGUAACAUAUCGGAACGUACCCUGUCGUGGGGGAUAACUAUCCGAAAGGAUAGCUAAUACCGCAUACGACCUGAGGGUGAAAGCGGGGGACCGCAAGGCCUCGCGCGAUAGGAGCGGCCGAUAUCGGAUUAGCUAGUUGGUGAGGUAAAGGCUCACCAAGGCGACGAUCCGUAGCGGGUCUGAGAGGACGACCCGCCACACUGGAACUGAGACACGGUCCAGACUCCUACGGGAGGCAGCAGUGGGGAAUUUUGGACAAUGGGGGCAACCCUGAUCCAGCCAUUCCGCGUGAGUGAUGAAGGCCUUCGGGUUGUAAAGCCCUGUCGAGGGGGACGAAGUUCUGACGGUACCCCUCAAGAAAGCACCGGCUAACUCCGUG
This 461-nucleotide ribosomal RNA is filed under the name uncultured bacterium. RNAcentral's name for it is "bacterial SSU rRNA". It matches the Rfam family "Bacterial small subunit ribosomal RNA", at positions 29 to 507 of the family's 1533-position model. The record is from RNAcentral.